AUGCGUUUCCUUAUUAAACUUUGUUACAUAUUAAAUUGCUUUUUAAAAUACCUAACUCUCUAGUAAAAUAAAAGUAAAAUAUAGAUCUAAGAAUUUAUAUUUUUUAGGUUGAAUCUGUGCAGUCAGUAUCGACAACACAAAAAUAUGAUGAUCAAAAUUCCAAUAGGUACCCUCAACGAGCUAUAGAGGAGGUAAAAGGAAUAGACAGAAAUCAAAUGAUUAAAAUGUGUCCCCAGGUGCUAAAACUCCAAAACUGUUGCAGAAGCAAAAGCAGAUAUCAGCUAAUCGUCUUAAGAAAUUGCUUGUUAUAUGCUUAUAAAUAUGGAAGAAACAGAAGUUCUCCGCAGCAUCGAAAACGGAAAUAAAGAUUUUCUAAAACUCAAGGAAACGAUAUUCAAGCCAAUUACGCAACUUUUCCUUAUGUCUAAAUUUCAUAAGUCCAAAAGCGUACAUUUACGUACGAAAAACAUUCGACAUUUGCUUACCACAUCCGAAAAAAAUAAAGUGGUCGACUGCAAUCCAGGAUUUACGAAAGAGUCAUUUCAGGCUCUUGAAACGUUAGCAAAUGAAUGGGAAAAAAAAACAGUGGGCUACAUUGAUUUUGUACCUACUUGAUUUUUAUGUUCCAAUAUUUGUAAUCGGCCCUUAGCACAGAAAUUUAUACAUGUAUAAAAUAACCUAUGAAUAUGAUAAUAAAACACAUUGAAACUG
Colias croceus (clouded yellow) is the source of this 711-nucleotide long non-coding RNA. RefSeq lists it as uncharacterized. NCBI's taxonomy places the organism in Eukaryota, Metazoa, Arthropoda, Insecta, Lepidoptera, Pieridae. The record is from RefSeq and is a predicted model, not a curated record. The transcript is spliced from 2 exons.